UAGAAUAAUGUAGGUAAGGGAAGUCGGCAAAUUAGAUCCGUAACUUCGGGAUAAGGAUUGGCUCUGAAGAUUGAGAUGUGUCGGGCUUGUUUGGGAAGUGUUGCUAACUGUACUGCUAAAGUAUCUGAUUAAUUAUCUUUACGGGUAGUGAAAGGAUAUGAUUACGCGAUACUGUAAUACGGAACUCUCAAGCUAUGCUGUAUACAUAACAUGGGAAUAUAGGAUUCACGUUUUAUAUUCUCGUAUGCAGUUUUCAACGACCAUCAACAAACAAUCAAUUCAGAACUGGCACGGACAAGGGGAAUCCGACUGUCUAAUUAAACAAAGCAUUGUGAUGGCUCUCACGGGUGUUGACACAAUGUGAUUUCUGCCCAGUGCCCUGAAUGUCAAUGUGAAGAAAUUCAAGAAAGCGCGGGUAAACGGCGGGGGUAUACGUAUGACUGGCUUCUGGUAGCCAAAUGCCGAGUCCAACGCACAAAUUAUUGGAAAAUCGUGAAAACACGUCGUGUGCGUGAAUGCCUGCAUGGAUUUUCACGUGGGUACCACCACGUGAAAGCUA
RNAcentral lists this ribosomal RNA (559 nucleotides) under Lutzomyia longipalpis. RNAcentral's name for it is "eukaryotic large subunit ribosomal RNA". It matches the Rfam family "Eukaryotic large subunit ribosomal RNA", at positions 1891 to 2358 of the family's 3401-position model. The record is from RNAcentral. Lineage: Eukaryota; Metazoa; Arthropoda; Insecta; Diptera; Psychodidae.